This 377-nucleotide ribosomal RNA is filed under the name uncultured bacterium. Its description in RNAcentral is "bacterial SSU rRNA". It matches the Rfam family "Bacterial small subunit ribosomal RNA", at positions 523 to 898 of the family's 1533-position model. The record is from RNAcentral.
AUACGUAGGGAGCGAGCGUUGUCCGGAAUCAUUGGGCGUAAAGAGCGCGUAGGUGGAUCAUCCAGUCUGCUGUGAAAGUCAAAGGCUCAACCUUUGAAAGCCGGUGGAUACUGUUGAUCUAGAGUACGGAAGAGGCGAGUGGAAUUCCUGGUGUAGCGGUGGAAUGCGCAGAUAUCAGGAGGAACACCAAUAGCGAAGGCAGCUCGCUGGGACGUUACUGACACUGAGGCGCGAAAGCGUGGGGAGCAAACAGGAUUAGAUACCCUGGUAGUCCACGCCGUAAACGAUGGGUACUAGGUGUGGGAGGUGUCGACUCCUCCCGUACCGUCGCUAACGCACUAAGUACCCCGCCUGGGGAGUACGGCCGCAAGGCUAAA